This is a non-coding RNA of Schizosaccharomyces pombe (fission yeast), 4005 nucleotides long. NCBI's taxonomy places the organism in Eukaryota, Fungi, Ascomycota, Schizosaccharomycetes, Schizosaccharomycetales, Schizosaccharomycetaceae. The record is from the annotation of a GenBank genome assembly.
AAACUCGAUUAUUUAAACUUAAAUAGCUACUGUUACUAUUUACACAACGAAACAAAAUCUCAGAACAACAUUCGACCCCAAAAAGGUGGUGAAAGAGCGAGGUCGUCUUCUCAAUGCCCCACAUCCAUAAAAUCCAAAGACUCCAUGGAGCGAGUUAGAGCACUUGAUUAGGGCGCUCAAACUCAAUUUAAAAACUCGUUCAUCAUUUGAUUUUAGUUGUGUAAAGAAUAAUAAAGCAUAUGGCACAUCAUUUAUAUUCAGCACUAUUGAGCAGUCACAUCAUAUGUCUACAAACUCUCCACAUAUUACACUUGAUUUAUCUUUUUUGUUUACUUUAGCUAUCGUAGAUGCAAACUCAAAUUUAAACGUUGAAUAAAAUUUAUUUUUUUAUAUUAACCUCAAUACUUAAAUUCGUCUUCCAGAGCUAAUCUCGGUACGAUAUUCAUACUUAGCAACUCUUGAAAUAAUAACUUAGCUGCAUAUGGUAUGGUCAUUUUGACAACCUCUCGAGUACUCUGGCAACUAUUACACCAACCUUUGUAACCCAAAAGACCACAUUGGCCACAAACAUCCACAUCACAAGCAUCUGAGGAAAUCAUGAGUCUUUCCAAAAGUAACUGGGAGGCACCAUAAGCAAUCAAACAAUCACGCUCCAUUUCACCCAAACGUAGACCGCCGUCUCGAGAACGUCCCUCCGUGGGUUGUCGCGUUAGCACCGCCCGCGGGCCACGCGCUCUUGCAUGCAUUUUAUCCAUAACCAUAUGUUUUAAUUUUUGAUAAUAAAUUGGGCCCAUAAAAAUGUAAGCCUCUAAUGUUUCACCUGUAAUUCCCGAAGUCAACAUAUCUUUUCCAGAAUAGUUGUAACCAUGCUCGACCAAUAUUCGACUAGCAUCUUCCACUUUGGUUCCACCAAAACAUGUUCCAUACUCCAAUGUUCCCCUUAGAACACCAACUUUUCCAGAUAAAAGUUCAAUCAUUUUCCCAACGGUCAUUCGAGAUGGGAAACCAUGAGGAUUCAUGAUGAUAUCUGGACAAAUACCUUGAUCAUUAAACGGCAUAUCUUCUUGUUGUACAAUUACACCGCAAACACCCUUCUGUCCGUGGCGUGAGGAAAACUUAUCGCCAAGUUCGGGGCGACGAGUUUGUCGCAUCAAGACUUUGAUUAAUGUUUGAUCAGAAUCAGUUGUAGUAAGCAUGACCUUGUCAAUGUAGCCUGGUUCAGGGGCCUUGUAUGUCAUUGGAGUUGCUUUGUAUCCUGAUUCAACAGUUUGAGUAUGACCCAAAGUAAUUGAAUUGUCGAGGGCAUUAGUGGGAGUUUGUUUGUUGACAUAGAUUUGACCGGGUUGUACACGACAACCAACACCAGCUAAACCAUCGUCUUCAACAACACCGUGUUUCCAAACUACCUCGCCAGUUUCAGGAUCUCGUUGUGGAUCACCAAUACGAUCAUGGGUACCGUUGGGAUACUUUCGGACUAUGACUGAAUGCUUGUGGAAAACUUGACAGCGGCCAAAGCCCCUGUCAAUUGAGGAUUUGUUCAAAACCAGUGCAUCUUCAAUGUCAUAACCCGAAUAACUCAUGAUCGCGACAGUUGCGUUUUGCCCAGCUGGUAAUUUAUCAUAUCCAAUUAACUCGAUGGUCUUUGUUUUGACCAUCGGUUGCUGGGGAUAAACCAUUAAGUAUAAUAAUGUAUCAAUACGCUGCAAUUGAUUGUAAGCAAUCGCUCCGAUAGCUUGUUUACCCAUUGCACAUUGAUAGGUAUUACGGGGAGAUUGAUUGUGAUGGGGAUAGGGGAUUAAGCCAGCGACAGCACCUAGAAUGGUAAAUGGCUCAAUUUCAAGAUGAGUGGUGUCAGGAGUGAUGUCUCUUUCAUAAACAGAAAUUAAACUAUCAUUUUCUUCGUUAACAUCGACAUAUUCGACCAAUCCUUGUUUCAAAAAAUCUUCGAACCCCCAUUUUCCUUCUUUAAGCAGUCUAAUGUGUUUUGAUUCGACCUUGGGUAAUCCAUUCUGAACUAUAAUCAAUGGUCUACAAAUUCUUCCACCAUCUGUUGAUAUGAAAACAGCUCGUUGAUGCGUGUUAAUGAAAAUACCAAUAAAAGGUGAUAUUUUUCCUGAACGACGAAGCUUUCGGAAUGAAGCAACAAACAGAGAAGGAUAUCUGCUAAUACCUAAAAUAGCACCAUUUAAAUAAACCAAGUAGGUACCAUGGCUGUGUAAUUCACGUCCGCUGAUGACAUGUAUAUCUUCAAUACCAAACGCAUACGCCAACUUAAUAAUUGGCUCCUCUUCUUCGUCGGUUGUAAUAUGGGUCAUCAACGCUAAAUUCUUCACUAAACCACAAGCUUCACCCUCAGGUGUAUCUGAAGUACAAAGCAUACCAAACUGGGAAGCUUGAAGAGAACGAGGUCCUGAGACUUUUCUUGUUUUUUCAAACUGACUGGUAAUUCGAGUCAUCAUACCAAGGGCACUAAUAUAGCUUAAUCGAGAUAAAACGUGAGUGACACCAGCUCUUUCCAUCUUGAAACGCUUUAAUGACCAAUUGCCAGUAGACAAAGCACGAACCAUACCUUGAGUGAUGUGAUCACUAUGGACGGUUAGCUGGUUGUAAGCGUCAAAUUCUUGUGUACGAUGUGGUUUCUUUAAAACUUUAUCUAUGUUCAGCUUAAGGUCUGAAUUAAACUUCUUAAAAAGAUCCUCAAACAAUAAUGCCAACAACUGGCCAGCCAACUCUAGACGUUUGUUACCAACAUAGUCACGAUCAUCGACUUGUAAAGGAUCUACCAUGGCCAUGAGAACUCGACGGGCCAUUAUUCCAAUGUAAACCGCCUUAGGACGGAACUCUAAAUUAAAAACAUUGAUGUGAGCUAACACAACGGCGGCCAAAACUUCAAGAGCUUCUUCGUGAGGGGGCAAACGAUUAGCACCGGCUCGUCUAUUUACCUUAACACGCGCACCGAUAUAUUCUAAUGCUUGCUGUGCAGUAUAUAUAUUUAACUUUGCACAUUCUUCGAUGCUUGGUGCAAACAAAUCUUGAUAAGAUGCUUCUGCACCGGCAACAAGCUCAAAAAUUUCUUGAUCCGAUUGAAGUCCCAUUGCUUUUAAAACAACCACUAUAGGAAUAUCAUCUGCUACACUGUUGUGUUUCAGGUAAAGCUUUCCAUUUUUGGUUAUUACAUAGGUUUUUGACUUUCGCUCAUGGGUCGAGGAAGUAACAGAAGCUUGCCAAAGUCCUUUCUUUGGUUCUGCUUCGACAAUUAUACGAUUCUUGGAUAAUUGUUCUUGCACUAAAAUAACUUUUUCAGUACCUUUUACAAUGAAAUAACCACCAGGAUCCAAAGGGCAUUCGUUUAAAGCGGCCAUCUCCAUUUCAUUUUUCCCAGAUAAAACACAUUUAUUACUUCGCAACAUUACAGGCAUCCUUCCAAUAGGAACAUUUCUUCUUCUUACAACUUGUUUGCCCCUCGUAUAUUCAAUAUCAACGUAAAUAUUCGCACCAUAAGUCAAAUCACGUAAACGGCAUUCAUGAGGUGAAAUUGAGGCUUGAAUAGCAUCAGCAUCAGUUCGAACAGGCGCUCCUACUCGAAUAUCCAAGUACUUUAAGUAGAACCAAGGUUCAACGUCUGAAGUGACUUUUUCAUUUGCUUGUACAAUUUUUUUUAAAUCAACAUCAACAAAAUAGUUAUACGAGUCUAAAUGCUGUUUAACAAGUCCUUUUACCUUUAAAAAUGCAGGUAAAAGCUGCCAUUUGUCUUCAAUGGUGGGAACAGGGUCUGCAAGCUUUUUGCCCUUAUAAACAGGUUUAAAGAGGGCUCCAAAACUCUCAUCCUUCCCAAUUCCACCUUUAUUUAUUUUGGGUUGGCUUUUUUGAGGGUCUCCGGCAGUAUUUACCCCCAUCGAACUCACUUAGUUGAUAAUGGCGGACGGUAGCAAAAUUCCUCCCCAAAAAUAUACUUAUGGAGGAAGCGUUAGUAAUGCAAGGAUAGAGAUUUCUUAUUACUUUGGG